UUUGUGUACGGCUCCCAAACCACCAUCGCCGAGUCGGAUCAUGAGCCAUAAGGAAAGGCAAUUAACUACGGGGAGCGCUCAUAUUAUAUAGAAACAGUGAAACCGUAUUGUCAUUUAGUUUCAAGCAACUAGACUGAUUGGAAAAUGCGGCUACGGGCUCAUAUCUUGGUGAUUCGUAAGCAGCAUCUUCGAGGGACAGGACUGUGAUCUUGGCGUGGCUGGUGGAUGAGCCAAUCAGAAGCACAUGGACAAACCAGCAGCACAGAAGAGAACCUCUCACCUCACUCUGUCACUUUUCCUAGAGCUACAGCAUGUUUUGACUCAACAGGAGGUGAGAAAAAGACGAGCCGACUAG
Brienomyrus brachyistius is the source of this 355-nucleotide long non-coding RNA. RefSeq lists it as uncharacterized. The record is from RefSeq and is a predicted model, not a curated record. NCBI's taxonomy places the organism in Eukaryota, Metazoa, Chordata, Actinopteri, Osteoglossiformes, Mormyridae. The transcript is spliced from 3 exons.